UGGGGAAUUUUGGACAAUGGGCGAAAGCCUGAUCCAGCAAUGCCGCGUGUGUGAAGAAGGCCUUCGGGUUGUAAAGCACUUUUGUCCGGAAAGAAAUCCUUGGCUCUAAUACAGUCGGGGGACGACGGUACCGGAAGAAUAAGCACCGGCUAACUACGUGCCAGCAGCCGCGGUAAUACGUAGGGUGCAAGCGUUAAUCGGAAUUACUGGGCGUAAAGCGUGCGCAGGCGGUUUGCUAAGACCGAUGUGAAAUCCCCGGGCUCAACCUGGGAACUGCAUUGGUGACUGGCAGGCUAGAGUAUGGCAGAGGGGGGUAGAAUUCCACGUGUAGCAGUGAAAUGCGUAGAGAUGUGGAGGAAUACCGAUGGCGAAGGCAGCCCCCUGGGCCAAUACUGACGCUCAUGCACGAAAGCGUGGGGAGCAAACAGGAUUAGAUACCCUGGUAGUCCACGCCCUAAACGAUGUCAACUAGUUGUUGGGGAUUCAUUUCCUUAGUAACGUAGCUAACGCGUGAAGUUGACCGCCUGGGGAGUACGGUCGCAAGAUUAAAACUCAAUGAAUUGACGGGGUCAUAGCUGUUUCC
Molecule: ribosomal RNA, 583 nt
Filed under: uncultured bacterium
Lineage: Bacteria
Description: partial 16S ribosomal RNA
Rfam family: Bacterial small subunit ribosomal RNA
Source: RNAcentral